This is a non-coding RNA of Pestalotiopsis sp. NC0098, 93 nucleotides long. Lineage: Eukaryota; Fungi; Ascomycota; Sordariomycetes; Amphisphaeriales; Sporocadaceae. The record is from the annotation of a GenBank genome assembly.
UGCCCUAUGGCGCAAUUGGUUAGCGCGUCAGACUGUUAUCCCUACUUAGGGACUGACAUCUGGAGGCUCUGAGUUCGACCCUCAGUGGGGCAG